ACAGGAUUAGAUACCCUGGUAGUCCACGCCGUAAACGAUGAGUGCUAAGUGUUUAGGGGGUCUCCGCCCCUUAGUGCUGCAGCUAACGCAUUAAGCACUCCGCCUGGGGGAGUACGGUCGCAAGACUGAAACUCAAAGGAAUUUUUGGGGGCCCGCACAAGCGGUGGAGCAUGUGGUAUAAUUCGAAGCAACGCGAAGAACCUUACCAGGUCUUGACAUCCUCUGACAACCCUAGAGAUAGGGCUUUCCCUUCGGGGAAAGAGUGACAGGUGGUGCAUGGUUGUCGUCAGCUCGUGUCGUGAGAUGUUUGGGUUAAGUCCCCGCAACGAGCGCAACCCUUGAUCUUAGUUGCCAGCAUUCAGUUGGGCACUCUAAGGUGACUGCCGGUGACAAACCGGAGGAAGGUGGGGAUUUUGUCAAAUCAUCAUGCCCCUUAUGACCUGGGCUACACACGUGCUACAAUGGACAGAACAAAGGGCUGCGAGACCGCAAGGUUUAGCCAAUCCCACAAAUCUGUUCUCAGUUCGGAUCGCAGUCUGCAACUCGACUGCGUGAAGCUGGAAUCGCUAGUAAUCGCGGAUCAGCAUGCCGCGGUGAAUACGUUCCCGGGCCUUGUACACACCGCCCGUCACACCACGAGAGUGUGCAACACCCGAAGUCGGUGAGGUAACCUUCAUG
This 678-nucleotide ribosomal RNA is filed under the name Bacillus pumilus. Its description in RNAcentral is "bacterial SSU rRNA". It matches the Rfam family "Bacterial small subunit ribosomal RNA", at positions 772 to 1446 of the family's 1533-position model. Lineage: Bacteria; Bacillati; Bacillota; Bacilli; Caryophanales; Bacillaceae. The record is from RNAcentral.